Molecule: non-coding RNA, 1339 nt
Organism: Amborella trichopoda
Lineage: Eukaryota; Viridiplantae; Streptophyta; Magnoliopsida; Amborellales; Amborellaceae
Source: RefSeq, a predicted model, not a curated record
UAUAUAUAUAUAUAAAAUAAUAUAUAUCAUUUUAAAAACUUGGGUUGGAUCUGAAUCGGAUCCACCUAUACCCCGAUCGGAUCUGAGUUACUAUUUGGAUUUAGAUUUCGGAUUCGGAUCCAAUUUUUAAUCCAAAUCUUGGAUCCAUAUCCAGAUCCGGAUAGGAUCCAAAUUUUGGGUUUCAGAUCCGGACAGAGUAAAUUCUCAGCCCUGAUCACAAACUAUUCCCCUAACUAUUUGGAUUGCUAAAAACUAUUACUUUGAAGUUCUUGUGUUUUCAAAUUAUGAUGUGGGUGUGCCAUAGACCCUUCAAAUCUCAAUUAUUAAUAAAAACUAGAAGUAGUUUCAGCUUGUUUGUUUUUUUUUUAGUAACUUAUUUGGUUGAUUUUAACAUUAUUUUGGAUUUGCCUCAGACCUAAGUCAAUGCCUGUUGAUCACAUAAUGAGAUUAAGACAAUUCUUUUUAUUGAACCAUUUCUUGUGUUACAACAGUUCUCUUUCUUCUCUAACAAAUGCAUAUAUAUUCUGGUACCAUAAUCUCUAUGGUAGCUAAUUUGCUGUUUUAGCUUUCCAGAGAUGCAUCAUAUGAUACUGCUCUCGGACUCUCUUCUAUGUGGAGCUUUAUUUUUUAUCUCAAAAUUUGAAAUUUAUUAGAUGCUCUCUAUAAUGCAAGAUCAAACUUUUGGAUUAGCAAAUUCACUAAUUGACUUCAUGCCCUUUGUUUUUUCUUCUAGGAUAAAUGAUUAUACAUUUCACUCCUUUUUCCUUUGUGCUCCUUGAGUCGCUCUACUCAAUGAGAAAGAUGAAGCGCUCUCGUGCCUCAAUCAAAGACCAGCGUCGCAUCAGCACUUUGAUCAAUGAUAAACAUGAAUCUUGAAAUGUUGCUUGAAAGCUGAUGUAGAAAUAAACAACAUUCCUACAGAGGAUGAUAUCACUGAAAAUCUUCCAUCUAUUCCAUCUGGAUGCUCCAUUCCUGUCAUGCAUGUCGAUACAGAGCUGCUUGAAGAUGAAUCUUUGCAACUUCUCAAUAAAGACUCCUAUGUAAAUAGUCUUUGGACAGCUUUGCCGGUUCUUACGAAGGAGGAACAAGAUGCUCUUGCAGCAACUCCUACUCAUCUCAACAUGUAGUAGAGUUUUAUUGCUUCUUCCUCUGUUGCUGAAUUGUUACCUGAUAGGAAGAUGGGAUGUGGACUGAAAAUUUACUGGAGAGAACUAUCAAACUUUAAAAUGUUACGUUGGACGCUUUAGUACCAUAUUUGACUUUGAGCUAAUAUUAUUUGGGAAAUGAUGACACUUACCCUCAUCUCUACUUAAAUGUUAAACAAAGAGUUUUUUUUUUC